AGUAUCGCGUGGGUAAUCUACCUUGAGGUGGGGGAUAGCCUCGGGAAACCGAGGGUAAUACCGCAUGAGUCCUCAAUGACAUAAGUCGAUGAGGGGAAAGGCGGGGCUCCUUCGGGACCUGUCGCCUCUAGAUGAGCCCGCGUCCGAUUAGCUAGUUGGUGGGGUAAUGGCCUACCAAGGCAACGAUCGGUAGCCGGCCUGAGAGGGUGAACGGCCGCAUUGGGACUGAGACACGGCCCAG
Molecule: ribosomal RNA, 241 nt
Filed under: uncultured bacterium
Lineage: Bacteria
Description: partial 16S ribosomal RNA
Rfam family: Bacterial small subunit ribosomal RNA
Source: RNAcentral